CAUGUUUGUAAUUAGCAGCAGUAAUUUGAGGCUUCAGACAGUGCUCAUUACUGUGGCCAGAGAGGCAGGUGCACUUAGCCUCAGUUUAUUCAAAAUUAAUUUAAUCAGCAUUUAUCCACCUGAAUCACCACGAAGACAACUUUUAACCAUAAUGAUGUAAGGAGUAGCAGGAAAGCCACAGGUCUUGGCAUGAGGGCAGCUGUGCCAGCUGGAAAGGGGAAGGAGCAGCCUGUGAAUCUGAAAAAGUGCUGUCCCGAAGUAAAGUAAUUCAUGUGAUAGGAAGGAGUUUACGGUUUUCCUUUUUCUUGUGAGUUUAGACAUUAAAAAUACUGGCAGUCACUAGACUUUCUGUAAGAGGUGAGACCUGGCAUGACACAAAAGCAAAUGAUUAAUAUAUGAUGGGAAGGAACAAUGUAGAGAAAUUAGGGAAAAGUGUCUGAUUCUCCAUUAACAACUUAAUACUUCUGACUUAAAUCUUGUUAUAUGGCUUACAGACAGUUCUCUGACCACUUACAGCUGUUUUCAGAUGAGAUUUGCUAGAUGCUUUCCAAGUUUUAGUCUCACUGCAGGGAGUGAUUCUUGCUACCCUGGAGAUCUCAGUUAGACCAGUUGGUUCAUGGUAGGUGCAGGCACAUGAACUAGGUUCCAGAAGAAAAAGCAUCUUUACGUUUCAGCAUCCUGAAAGGAUGUGUUAUUUCAGAUUUCUGAAUACAGAGAAAUAAAUAAAUUCUAUUAUGAGAAGUUCAGAAAAGUUGUCUCCACAGGCGCCCUGGAGGAACAACAACAUCAGUUUUAUGAGCAGGGAAGCUGCUGUCACAGAACAAGGAGAGACCAUUAUAGGCUUCUACCUACUGGCUUUAGGAGAGAAGUUUUUUGUUUCCUCAGCCAAUCUUUUAGUCAGCUUUCUGGGUGCACUUUUUGUACUGGCUGGCAGACAGCGAGUUGAUAAAGGGUUUUGCUCAUAGAUCUUUGGUUCCUGACUUCCAUCACUUGCUGAGCAUCCCUGCUGUUCCUCCUCUGCAAGUCAUGGGAAACAGCACCAACCCCUUCGUGUGGAGAGUGUUGACACCCAUGGACUAAAAUCUCCCCCAGGCUGUAUUAUUCCAGGAGAAAUGUUACUGUUGAAUUCUAUAAAGGCAAAACAUUGUUUUUUAAUAUUGCUUUCCAUCCUGUUCCUCCUACUUUCCAAUAUUUGCAAAUAUGAAUAGCAACCGUAUUAGUGUGGCUUGAGAAAAGCUCUACUCAGCGCUGUCCUAAGGAGUAAAGGUUACCCCAUAGCUGUUCAGUAUUCA
Molecule: long non-coding RNA, 1292 nt
Filed under: Phasianus colchicus (ring-necked pheasant)
Lineage: Eukaryota; Metazoa; Chordata; Aves; Galliformes; Phasianidae
Description: lncRNA (ENSPCLG00000001131.1)
Source: RNAcentral